This 346-nucleotide ribosomal RNA is filed under the name Nosema granulosis. RNAcentral describes it as "SSU rRNA". It matches the Rfam family "Microsporidia small subunit ribosomal RNA", at positions 63 to 405 of the family's 1311-position model. The record is from RNAcentral. Lineage: Eukaryota; Fungi; Microsporidia; Nosematidae.
AAUAUAAAGAAAAGACGAACAGCUCAGUAACUCUUAUUUUAUUUGAUGUAUUAGGAUUAUAACUAUGUUAAAUUAUAGAUAACAAUAAUACAAUAAGAAUAAGAUCUAUCAGUUAGUUGUUAAGGUAAUGGCUUAACAAGACUAUGACGGAUAACGGUAUUACUUUGUAAUAUUCCGGAGAAGGAGCCUGAGAGAUUGCUACUAAGUCUAAGGAUUGCAGCAGGGGCGAAACUUGACCUAUGAUAUGAUAUUGAGGCAGUUAUGAGUAGUAUUUUUAAUUAUUGUAGUAUUGUAAGUAUAUACUACAAGAUAAAUCGGAGGGCAAAUCGAGUGCCAGCAGCCGCGG